GGGUUGUGAGGUUAAGCGACUAAGCGUACACGGUGGAUGCCCUGGCAGUCAGAGGCGAUGAAGGGCGUGCUAAUCUGCGAUAAGCGCCGGUAAGGUGAUAUGAACCGUUAUAACCGGCGAUACCCGAAUGGGGAAACCCAGUGUGACUCGUCACACUAUCAUUAACUGAAUCCAUAGGUUAAUGAGGCGAACCGGGGGAACUGAAACAUCUAAGUACCCCGAGGAAAAGAAAUCAACCGAGAUUCCCCCAGUAGCGGCGAGCGAACGGGGAGGAGCCCAGAGCCUGAAUCAGCAUGUGUGUUAGUGGAAGCGUCUGGAAAGGCGCGCGAUACAGGGUGACAGCCCCGUACACAAAAGCGCAUGUGCUGUGAGCUCGAUGAGUAGGGCGGGACACGUGGUAUCCUGUCUGAAUAUGGGGGGACCAUCCUCCAAGGCUAAAUACUCCUGACUGACCGAUAGUGAACCAGUACCGUGAGGGAAAGGCGAAAAGAACCCCGGCGAGGGGAGUGAAAAAGAACCUGAAACCGUGUACGUACAAGCAGUGGGAGCCCCACCACCAAAGCAUUUGCUGUACCGCGUUGACG
RNAcentral lists this ribosomal RNA (584 nucleotides) under Salmonella enterica subsp. enterica serovar Enteritidis. RNAcentral's name for it is "partial 23S ribosomal RNA". It matches the Rfam family "Bacterial large subunit ribosomal RNA", at positions 1 to 590 of the family's 2925-position model. Lineage: Bacteria; Pseudomonadati; Pseudomonadota; Gammaproteobacteria; Enterobacterales; Enterobacteriaceae. The record is from RNAcentral.